Molecule: ribosomal RNA, 253 nt
Filed under: uncultured bacterium
Lineage: Bacteria
Description: partial 16S ribosomal RNA
Rfam family: Bacterial small subunit ribosomal RNA
Source: RNAcentral
UACGAAGGGGGCGAGUGUUGUUCGGAUUUACUGGGCGUAAAGGGCGUGUAGGCGGAUCGAAUAGUCAGAGGUGAAAGCCCAGGGCUCAACCCUGGAACUGCCUUUGAUACUUUCGGUCUAGAGUAUGUGAGAGGGUGGUGGAAUAUCCUGUGUAGAGGUGGAAUUCAUAGAUAUAGGAUGGAACACCAGUGGCGAAGGCGGCCACCUGGCGCAUAACUGACGCUAAAGCGCGAAAGCGUGGGUAGCAAACAGG